Cherax quadricarinatus is the source of this 454-nucleotide non-coding RNA. The record is from RefSeq and is a predicted model, not a curated record. NCBI's taxonomy places the organism in Eukaryota, Metazoa, Arthropoda, Malacostraca, Decapoda, Parastacidae.
ACACCCAUCACCUUCCCACCAUCUCCCCAUCACCCCACCACACACCAACACCCCACCACCUCCCCAUCAUCCCACCAAACACCAACACCCCCACCACACCUGGGUGAGGCCACUAUGGGCCGGGGACGUCAGUUGGAGAGAAGCAGUCACACAGUGAGGAGGGUUGCAUCUUUUUCCACAAUUUUAGGACAUUAUUCCCUAACUAUGCCUGUUCUGAGUGGCUGUUGUUGUUUCGACCUCAAGGUCGGCACAACUAUCAUUGGGGUCCUCAACUUGCGGUCAAACACGGCGGCAUUAAUACGAGUGUAGCAAGUCAUCGCUUGGCCUCCAUGAUCGAGAAGGUUAGUUUAGGACAUUAUGCACACACUCCGACCGAUGGUCUGUCAUAGGGCCAACGGCUACCACAUUCUCAGUUAAGUUAGUAGACACUGCCUUUCAUAGCCGCUCACGUCAG